GUGCUCGCUUUGGCAACACAUAUACUACAACUGGAAUGAUACAGAGAAGAUUAGCAUGGCCCCUGUGCAAGGAUGACAUGCAAAUUAAAAAAAAAGUUUGUUU
Chlorocebus sabaeus (green monkey) is the source of this 103-nucleotide small nuclear RNA. The record is from Ensembl. Lineage: Eukaryota; Metazoa; Chordata; Mammalia; Primates; Cercopithecidae.